UACGGGGGGUGCAAGCGUUACUCGGAAUCAUUGGGCGUAAAGGGCGCGUAGGCGGCCUAGUAAGUCAGGUGUGAAAGCCCGGGGCUUAACCCCGGAAGUGCAUUUGAUACUGCUAGGCUUGAGUAUGGGAGAGGGAAGUGGAAUUCCUGGUGUAGAGGUGAAAUUCGUAGAUAUCAGGAGGAACACCGGUGGCGAAGGCGACUUCCUGGACCAAUACUGACGCUGAGGCGCGAAGGCGUGGGGAGCAAACAGG
This 253-nucleotide ribosomal RNA is filed under the name uncultured Desulfobacteraceae bacterium. RNAcentral describes it as "partial 16S ribosomal RNA". It matches the Rfam family "Bacterial small subunit ribosomal RNA", at positions 524 to 776 of the family's 1533-position model. The record is from RNAcentral. Lineage: Bacteria; Pseudomonadati; Thermodesulfobacteriota; Desulfobacteria; Desulfobacterales; Desulfobacteraceae.